Molecule: long non-coding RNA, 751 nt
Filed under: Cyanistes caeruleus (blue tit)
Lineage: Eukaryota; Metazoa; Chordata; Aves; Passeriformes; Paridae
Description: lncRNA (ENSCCEG00000020823.1)
Source: RNAcentral
CCUAGGUGCAAUGCCAUGUUCUCAUAGUGAAGUUUAUGAUAGUGAAUUUUUAUCUUUCAGGAUCCAGGUUUCAAAAAACCCCAAAAGUGGUCUUUCAAGAGUAUGAGAAGAUGUGUGUGGAGCUGGGAAAUUAGAUGCAGACUGACCUUUUGCUCCAAAAUUUAAAAUCAAAAUGCAGCUCCUCUCUGUGGACACGGAUGGAUCCAGAAUGGAAGAUAAGCUUUAACACUGACCGGUGCACCUGUGUGUUGUGAUGCUUCAACACCUCUGCAAUGGUGGUGUCUUCACAUUUUGGAUGAAGUUCUGCACCCAUGCCUGGUUAUAAGUAACUCUCCUUCCCCUUGCUUUGCUGAAGUCUCUCAUUCAUCGUAUCAGCUGUAGGAAGCUAUUACUCCUUGUUUACAACUAAAACAACACUGAACAAGUUUCCCAAGGACUGUCACCUGCCUUGGCUAGGAACCUUGUGCUCAGUCUGUACAAUAUGUAGGAUGAGAAGGACUUAGUCUGUGUUUGGAACUCAAAUGGCUUCUGCUUUACACCAGUAGAUUUGUACCUACAGGAGGCACCUACAACUCUGUGCUGCAGGAAUGUGUUAGUAUUUUUCAUAUCUGCGGUGAAAAACCUUCUCUGCAUGUAGUUGAACCUAAAUAUCAUCCAGUCUUUGGGGACUAUCAGAUAGUGACUGUUUGCAUAUUGUUUGUACAAUAUGCUACAUAAUAAACAAAAAUAUUUAUUAAUAUUUGGGAGAAUC